This 333-nucleotide ribosomal RNA is filed under the name uncultured Allantion. Its description in RNAcentral is "SSU rRNA". It matches the Rfam family "Eukaryotic small subunit ribosomal RNA", at positions 627 to 955 of the family's 1831-position model. Lineage: Eukaryota; Cercozoa; Glissomonadida. The record is from RNAcentral.
GAUUUCUGGUGUUUUACUCUUAGCCCACCACGGUUACGUGUGUGAGUGCCUAGAUGUAUACACCAUCCUUCUAGUUAUAACAAUUAGUUUCAGCUCUUAAUUGAGUUGAGAUUAAUCUGUGUCUAGAUCUUUUACUUUGAAAAAAUUAGAGUGUUUAAAGCAGGCUUUUGCUAUGAAUACAUUAGCAUGGAAUAAUAAUUUAGGACUUUGUUUCUAUUUUGUUGGUUUCUAGGGAUGAAGUAAUGAUUGAUAGGGAUAGUUGGGGGUGCUAGUAUUCAGUGGCCAGAGGUGAAAUUCUCGGAUUCACUGAAGACUAACUUAUGCGAAAGCAUU